Molecule: ribosomal RNA, 425 nt
Filed under: uncultured bacterium
Lineage: Bacteria
Description: bacterial SSU rRNA
Rfam family: Bacterial small subunit ribosomal RNA
Source: RNAcentral
AAUCAACGCUGGCGGCGUGCCUAACACAUGCAAGUCGAACGCGAAAGCCCUUUCGGGGGUAAGUAGAGUGGCGUCCGGGUGAGUAACACGUAGGUAAUCUACCUUCGGGUGGGGAAUAACUCGCCGAAAGGCGAGCUAAUACCGCAUAAUGUAGCGGCACCUAAUGGUGAUUAGUUGUUAAAGCGGGGGAUCGUAAGACCUCGCGCCUGAAGAGGAGCCUGCGGCAGAUUAGCUAGUUGGGAGGUAAUGGCUCACCAAGGCUUCGAUCUGUAGCUGGUCUGAGAGGACGGCCAGCCACACUGGCACUGACACACGGGCCAGACUCCUACGGGAGGCAGCAGUGGGGAAUUUUGGGCAAUGGGCGCAAGCCUGACCCAGCAACGCCGCGUGAGGGAGAAAUCCUUCGGGAUGUAAACCUCACAAGC